AGUAUUCAGCUUUCUUUGACAAACACAGGAGAAGUUAUAAAUCAGAAACAUGGACUCUCCAUGAUUUCAGUCGUCAUGUCCUCAUAUUUCUUUAGACCUGAAAAACCCGAGUGUGUUUCAGGUGACAUGACUUUUGCCUUAACCUAACUCUGGAGAGCCUGUGUUCGAAUGUCCCCAUAUUGCUGUUCCACAGAACUGAACAGUGUUAACUUUCUAUAGUGUGGUAUAUUCAUCCCAAACUCUCCCGUGAGCAAUGUUCAAUGAUAAUUAAUAUUUAUUCAUUUCUUAACUGGUCAGAAUGAAGAAUGCUGAAUAUUUUGACACCGUAAUGUUAUGUUGCAGACACCAAGUGACCUGACUGAACCCUCUGGAGACCAUGAAUGGAGUGAGAGAUCCACUUCAUUCUUACAACAGACAUCAAGUGACAGGUACCUGACUGAACCCUCUGGAAACUAAGAAUGGAGUGAGAGAUCCACUUCAUCCUUACAACAGACAUCAAGUGACAGGUACCUGACUGAACCCUCUGGAAACCAAGAAUGGAGUGAGAGAUCCACUUCAUCUUUACAACAGACACCAAGUGACC
Long non-coding RNA from Hippocampus zosterae (dwarf seahorse), 583 nucleotides. RefSeq lists it as uncharacterized. The transcript has 4 exons. NCBI's taxonomy places the organism in Eukaryota, Metazoa, Chordata, Actinopteri, Syngnathiformes, Syngnathidae. The record is from RefSeq and is a predicted model, not a curated record.